AUGCUCACUUUGGAAAUACAUAUACUAAAAUUGGAAUGGUACAGGGAAGAUUAGCAUAUCCUCUAGCAUGUGCACACGUAAGUUUGUGACACAUUCCAUAUUUUU
This is a small nuclear RNA of Puma concolor (puma), 105 nucleotides long. The record is from RefSeq and is a predicted model, not a curated record. NCBI's taxonomy places the organism in Eukaryota, Metazoa, Chordata, Mammalia, Carnivora, Felidae.